AAGUCGUAACAAGGUUUCCGUAGGUGAACCUGCGGAAGGAUCAUUACCGAGUUGAUUCGAGCUCCGGCUCGACUCUCCCACCCUUUGUUUACCUACCUCUGUUGCUUUGGCGGUGCCGCCUCCGGGCGCCCGCCAGAGGACUUCAAAACUCCAGUCAGUGAACGUCUCAGUCUGAAAAACAAGUUAAUAAACUAAAACUUUCAACAACGGAUCUCUUGGUUCUG
Molecule: unclassified non-coding RNA, 224 nt
Filed under: Dothiorella viticola
Lineage: Eukaryota; Fungi; Ascomycota; Dothideomycetes; Botryosphaeriales; Botryosphaeriaceae
Description: partial contains small subunit ribosomal RNA, internal transcribed spacer 1, and 5.8S ribosomal RNA
Rfam family: Eukaryotic small subunit ribosomal RNA (bases 1-46)
Source: RNAcentral